UACGUAGGGUGCAGGCGUUAAUCGGAAUUACUGGGCGUAAAGCGUGCGCAGGCGGUGAUGUAAGACAGUUGUGAAAUCCCCGGGCUCAACCUGGGAACUGCAUCUGUGACUGCAUCGCUGGAGUACGGUAGAGGGGGAUGGAAUUCCGCGUGUAGCAGUGAAAUGCGUAGAUAUGCGGAGGAACACCGAUGGCGAAGGCAAUCCCCUGGACCUGUACUGACGCUCAUGCACGAAAGCGUGGGGAGCAAACAGG
RNAcentral lists this ribosomal RNA (253 nucleotides) under uncultured bacterium. RNAcentral describes it as "partial 16S ribosomal RNA". It matches the Rfam family "Bacterial small subunit ribosomal RNA", at positions 524 to 776 of the family's 1533-position model. The record is from RNAcentral.